CAAUCACAAUGACCUCACAGAUAAAACACUGAGUGUGGCAACUGGAGCAGGAUAAGCCAGAAAUUGCUUUGGGUGACUGAUUUCUGGACAAACUGAAGAGCACUCAAAGAUAAGCAAGCUAGGGUCAUAUCCACACAUCCAUCCUGAAAGAACUGUUUGAGGAUAUAUUCUAGCAAAUUAAACAAUGGCUCU
Ceratotherium simum simum (southern white rhinoceros) is the source of this 192-nucleotide non-coding RNA. The record is from RefSeq and is a predicted model, not a curated record. NCBI's taxonomy places the organism in Eukaryota, Metazoa, Chordata, Mammalia, Perissodactyla, Rhinocerotidae.